GGCAGUUCACCUAUAUUUCCUCGAUUGGUUGUACUUCAUUGUUGGUUAAAAAAUUGACCCCUCAAUCAGUCUCGUCGAACCUAACCUAAUUCAUAUUUCUAUCACCAAAAUAGGUUAUAAUCAUUCCGAGAACCUAACCUAAUUCAUAUUUCUAUCACCAAAAUAGGUUAUAAUCAUUCCGAGAACCUAACCUAAUUAAUAUUUCUAUCACCAAAAUAGGUUAUAAUCUUUCCGAGAACCUAACUUAAUUCAUAUUUCUAUCACCAAAAUAGGUUAUAAUCAUUCCGAGAACCUAACCUAAUUCAUAUUUCUAUCACCAAAAUAGGUUAUAAUCAUUCCGAAGUUCUUCACGACUUUUGUAUCACUCCGUAGUCCUCGGAAGUUUAAUCACUUGGAUCAAUAUUCGAAUUCUAACCGCAGAUUAUUCCUUUGGGGUUGAUCAGAUCGAUUCAGCCAGAAAUAUGUACCACAGAUUCAGCUCGUGUCCUUUGAAAUCCAUUGAAUAUUUCAGGAUCCAAGUCGACUUUUUUUUCACCGUCUAAUGAAUGCUUCAGUCCACGUUUAAAAUACCGAUCACCCUCUGUCGUAGAAGUUUCGAUUCGUAUUUGACUCGGUCCGCGGCCAAGAGAAUCGUACAUUUAAUUAAUUCCUGCUUACGUUUCGGGAGAGGGGUAUCUGCGAAUGAAAGCAGGGAGAGUCCGCACGAAACGAGGCUAACAUUUCCAAUCUCGCGACACGGACACGCCCGGGACAAAUCCUGCUUAAGCUGGAUACACACGCGACGCUAAUAUCGUUUCGUUAUCGUCCAGGAAGUGACGUAGCGGAACGAUAUAUACAGAUUUCAGCUUGAUUCAGCCAAUAUGCAACGGGACACGGUGCACAUUCCGACGAACGUACAUCGCAAUGAUCCGGUCGUGGUGAAAUACCAGGACACCUUAUUGAGAUCCAUGAUUGGUCGACACUGAUUUUCAGCUUUACGGUUGAAACGGCAAAUCGAUAUUUAUUUCUUCCUACGGUGUAUAUUUUAGAGGUUACCAAGCUGAAAUGAUUUAAGAUUUACGAUUGAGUCUCUUUUUGUCAUUAAGAAUGUUAAUUAAGGUAUUUUGUUGAAUUUUUAGGGCCAGCAGGAAUGAAGGCCCCAAGAAUCGAUCUUGGGGAGAAAGUAAGAACUCCGGGUGAGGUUAGGUUAGUACUUUUAUCGAUAUUUAUUUCUUCCUACGGUGUAGAGUUUAGAGGUUACCAAGCUGAAAUGAUUUAGGAGUUUAUGAUCGAGUCUUUUUUGUCAUUAAAAAUGUUAAUUAAGGUAUUUCGUUGAAUUUUUAGGGCCAGCAGGAAUGAAGGCCCCAAGAAUCAAUCUUGGGAGAUAGUAAGAAUUCCGAGUGAGGUUAGGGCCAGCAGGAAUGAAGGCCCCAAGAAUCGAUCUUGGGGACCUCAAGCGGAGAAAGUAAGAACUCCGGGUGAGGUUAGGUUGGUACUUUUAUGUGAUCAAAUGAUUCUAGAUAGUGGAAAAUAUUGCACCAUCGAAUGUGUAAUAUAUAUAUGAGAUGCAUUCGGUGAAAAAUUCACUUCUCAUACAUUUCUUAUCGUCUAGUAGCGUACUAUAGCUCGAGACACUUAAGGGGGAUCCUAGUUCGAUGGGAAUCUCGUUGUUCAGCAAAGGGUAUCGGUAAAAUUUCAUUCGAAAUUACGAAUUCAAUUCCGCGGAUACGAUUCCUCGUAAAUUUCAAGAAAUUCACUCAUAACUUUCAAUGGACUCGGUCUCAGCAGUGAGAAAUCAUUCGUUGAUCUUUCUUAAAUUGAAUUUUCCUAUCCGUUUCAAAGGAAAAUGGAUUUUAUCAAAAUCUUUGGUUAUUUCUUGCUUAGCUUCUUAAUUAAUUUCAAUUUAAUUCCAUAUUUAAUUGAAGAUUCCGUAUAAACUUUGAAAUUCAAUUAUAUCUUGAUGAAUUUUAAAUGCCAGGUUCUAUUUAUCGAAGACUUAGUGCAAACUUGAAGGUAAAUUGAAAUUAAUUUGAACUGAAAACAAAAGAAACUAUUAUAAUUAGGUUUACAUUAACUUCUCUGUCAGAAUUUUUAGCUACACUUUAAAUAAAUUUACUAUAGGAAGAAAAUAAAAGUUUAAUUAAAUCUAGACUUAGGUUCUUAAAAAAUCCGAAUGAUAAUUAAAUUUCAAUCAGUCAAACCAAAUUGAAGGAGAUUAACUAAAAAUUUGAUUGUACCUAACAGAAAGAAGAAACCAAAGCGUGAAUGAAAGCACUUCAAAGUUGGAAGCCAAAAUUGGAUUGCUGUCAUUCAUUUUGUGACAUUUUUAUCUCGAUUUGUUUUCCUCUCUGCUGUUCGUCAAGCUUUUAAAAUUUCCUGUACCUUGGCAAAAUCGAAAAUUUUGACCGAUCCAAAAGAAGAAAAAAGUGUAUAUAUCGAGGACGAAGAUAAAGUUUGAUUUAUUGUUCCCGCCUUCCAUAAACUUUUUAAUCUCCGGCGUGCUACAUCACCGAACGAGAUAGUGCAAUUCUAUAUAUUGCUCUCGUUUCCCUGUUAAAUUGCCAAUAUAUUUUUGUGCCUUUUUGCGUUCAGUCAACAAACAAGGGACAUUGUCCAUCGGAUUGAUCCAAUAACAGGUGUGAAUCUAAAAAUAAAUCGAGUCUGGUGCAGUUCCAAAAUAACAACACCACCGACAAAUAGAAAGCGUACCAAUUUUCAUGUUAACCUUGUGCUUUCACUUUAACGCCUGAAACGUGUCACAUUUUUUCCAAUUUCGAGAAAUAAAAUAUUAAAAAAA
Osmia lignaria (orchard mason bee) is the source of this 2776-nucleotide non-coding RNA. Lineage: Eukaryota; Metazoa; Arthropoda; Insecta; Hymenoptera; Megachilidae. The record is from RefSeq and is a predicted model, not a curated record.